AUUGAACGCUGGCGGCAUGCUUUACACAUGCAAGUCGAACGGUAACAGGCCUUCGGGUGCUGAUGAGUGGCGGCCGGGUGCGUAAUGCUUCGGAACGCGUCCAGAGGUGGGUGUUAACGCAGCGAAAGCUGUGCUAAUACCGCCUGUGAUCUGAGGCUGACAGCGGGUGACCGCACAGCAUCGUUUGGCCUUGCGCCUUUGAAGCGGCCGAUGUCGGAUUAGGUAGUUGGUGGGGUAAAGGCCUACCAAGCCGACGAUCUGUAGCUGGUCUGAGAGGAUGACCAGCCACACUGGAACUGAGACACGGCCCAGACUCCUACGGGAGGCAGCAGUGGGGAAUUUUGGACAAUGGGCGCAAGCCUGAUCCAGCAAUGCCGCGUGCGUGAAGAAGGCCUUCGGGUUGUAAACCGCUUUUGUACGGAACGAAAAGGAGCAGGCUAAUACCUGGGUCUGAUGACGGUACCGAAAGAAUAAGCACCGGCUAACUACGUG
Molecule: ribosomal RNA, 492 nt
Filed under: uncultured bacterium
Lineage: Bacteria
Description: partial 16S ribosomal RNA
Rfam family: Bacterial small subunit ribosomal RNA
Source: RNAcentral